CUAAUGUAAUUGGUACUACUGCCUUGAUU
RNAcentral lists this non-coding RNA (29 nucleotides) under Homo sapiens (human). The record is from RNAcentral. Lineage: Eukaryota; Metazoa; Chordata; Mammalia; Primates; Hominidae.